AUACUCUGGUUUCUCUUCAGAUCGUACAAAUCUUUCGCCUUUUACUAAAGAUUUCCGUGGAGAGGAACAACUCUGAGUCUUGACCAAAUUUUUCUAAAGCCUUGCAGAUAGCAAGGUU
This is a small nuclear RNA of Nannospalax galili (Upper Galilee mountains blind mole rat), 118 nucleotides long. Its record names the gene U5. It matches the Rfam family "U5 spliceosomal RNA". From Rfam's summary of the family: U5 RNA is a component of both types of known spliceosome. The record is from Ensembl. NCBI's taxonomy places the organism in Eukaryota, Metazoa, Chordata, Mammalia, Rodentia, Spalacidae.